RNAcentral lists this ribosomal RNA (420 nucleotides) under bacterium. RNAcentral's name for it is "partial 16S ribosomal RNA". It matches the Rfam family "Bacterial small subunit ribosomal RNA", at positions 355 to 776 of the family's 1533-position model. The record is from RNAcentral.
UGGGGGAUAUUGCACAAUGGGCGAAAGCCUGAUGCAGCGACGCCGCGUGGGGGAUGAAGGCUUUCGGGUUGUAAACCUCUUUCGCUAUCGAACAAGGUCCGCUUAGGGUGGGUUGAGGGUAGGUGGAGAAGAAGCGCCGGCUAACUACGUGCCAGCAGCCGCGGUAAUACGUAGGGCGCGAGCGUUGUCCGGAAUUAUUGGGCGUAAAGGGCUUGUAGGCGGCUUGUUGCGCCUGCUGUGAAAACGCGGGGCUUAACUUCGCGCGUGCAGUGGGGACGGGAAGGGUUGAGUGUGGUAGGGGUGACUGGAAUUCCAGGUGUAGCGGUGGAAUGCGCAGAUAUCUGGAGGAACACCGAUGGCGAAGGCAGGUCACUGGGCCAUUACUGACGCUGAGGAGCGAAAGCAUGGGUAGCGAACAGG